This 253-nucleotide unclassified non-coding RNA is filed under the name uncultured Planctomycetales bacterium. RNAcentral describes it as "contains 16S-23S intergenic spacer region". It matches the Rfam family "Bacterial small subunit ribosomal RNA", at positions 524 to 776 of the family's 1533-position model. The record is from RNAcentral. Lineage: Bacteria; Pseudomonadati; Planctomycetota; Planctomycetia; Planctomycetales.
UACGUACUGGGCGAACGUUAUUCGGAAUCACUGGGCUUAAAGGGUGCGUAGGCGGUCCGGCAAGUCAGGUGUGAAAGCCCCCGGCCCAACCGGGGAAUUGCGCUUGAAACUGCCGGGCUUGAGUACGAUAGGGGUGCGCGGAACUUCCGGUGGAGCGGUGAAAUGUGUUGAUAUCGGAAGGAACACCGGUGGCGAAAGCGGCGCACUGGGUCGUAACUGACGCUGAGGCACGAAAGCCAGGGGAGCGAACGGG